RNAcentral lists this long non-coding RNA (408 nucleotides) under Brassica napus (rape). Its description in RNAcentral is "long non-coding RNA (BNAP_LNC023438)". Lineage: Eukaryota; Viridiplantae; Streptophyta; Magnoliopsida; Brassicales; Brassicaceae. The record is from RNAcentral.
UAAGGAAAUUCUAAGGCUUUGAAAAAUUAUGGGAAUGGUUUGAAAAUUUAAAUAAUCAUAUAGUACCAAUAAACAUAAUAUUUAUUAGGGACUAAAGUAAACAUAUAAACAAGUUUAUCAAAUCAUCAACUUUUAUAUAGAGCGGAACAACAAAAAAAGAAUAAUAUUUUCCACAGUUUUCUAUACUAAUCUAAUAAAAAUUAAGAGAUGUCAAUGUUAAAUGUGCGUGAUGAUGUAUAAAGGAUUAUAUAGGUAACUUUUUGAGUGGGACAUUAAUCUUGUGCGUUUGUAAAUUUGAAUAGAAAAUAUAAGUGUAUGUCAUAAACUUAUAAUAGUAUGUUAGGUAAGGUGUCUAUGGGAUAUUUGCAUCUAAUCAUAUUAGUUGAUGUUAAUUUAUUAUUUACGUCA